AUCUGGCUUAGUUAAGAGGCAGAGUGUGAUGGAUUAUUUAUUAUUGAUCUUCUCAGGCCUUUUGAGGGGACUUUUAGCACUUUUCAAUCUGUUGUCCUUCCAGCAGCCUUGGACAUUU
Macleaya cordata is the source of this 118-nucleotide small nucleolar RNA. It matches the Rfam family "Small nucleolar RNA U19". NCBI's taxonomy places the organism in Eukaryota, Viridiplantae, Streptophyta, Magnoliopsida, Ranunculales, Papaveraceae. The record is from Rfam.